CCUACGGGAGGCAGCAGUGGGGAAUCUUGCGCAAUGGGCGAAAGCCUGACGCAGCAACGCCGCGUGCGGGAAGAAGGCCUUAGGGUUGUAAACCGCUUUCAGUAGGAACGAAAAUGACGGUACCUGCAGAAGAAGGUGCGGCCAACUACGUGCCAGCAGCCGCGGUGACACGUAGGCACCAAGCGUUGUCCGGAUUUAUUGGGCGUAAAGAGCUCGUAGGCGGUUCAGUAAGUCGGGUGUGAAAACUCUGGGCUUAACCCAGAGCCGCCACUCGAUACUGCUGUGACUUGAGUUCGGUAGGGGAGCAGGGAAUUCCUAGUGUAGCGGUGAAAUGCGCAGAUAUUAGGAGGAACACCGGUGGUGAAGGCGCUGCUCUGGGCCGAUACUGACGCUGAGGAGCGAAAGCGUGGGUAGCAAACAGGAUUAGAUACCCUGGUAGUCCACGCCGUAAACGUUGGGCACUAGGUGUGGGUUCCAACCACGGAAUCCGCGCCGUCGCUAACGCAUUAAGNGCCCGCGUCGGAGGUACGGCGGCGACGACUAACUACAAGAAGUAGACGGCGNGAGACGNGCCGACGGACGACGACGAGGGAGUAGG
Molecule: ribosomal RNA, 598 nt
Filed under: uncultured bacterium
Lineage: Bacteria
Description: bacterial SSU rRNA
Rfam family: Bacterial small subunit ribosomal RNA (bases 1-521)
Source: RNAcentral